CCUACGGGGGGCAGCAGUGAGGAAUAUUGGUCAAUGGACGAGAGUCUGAACCAGCCAAGUAGCGUGAAGGAUGACUGCCCUAUGGGUUGUAAACUUCUUUUAUAUGGGAAUAAAAUGUUCCACGUGUGGGAUUUUGUAUGUACCAUAUGAAUAAGGAUCGGCUAACUCCGUGCCAGCAGCCGCGGUAAUACGGAGGAUCCGAGCGUUAUCCGGAUUUAUUGGGUUUAAAGGGAGCGUAGGCGGAUUGUUAAGUCAGUUGUGAAAGUUUGCGGCUCAACCGUAAAAUUGCAGUUGAAACUGGCAGUCUUGAGUACAGUAGAGGUGGGCGGAAUUCGUGGUGUAGCGGUGAAAUGCUUAGAUAUCACGAAGAACUCCGAUUGCGAAGGCAGUUCACUGGACUGCAACUGACACUGAGGCUCGAAAGUGUGGGUAUCAAACAGGAUUAGAUACCCUUGUAGUC
This 460-nucleotide ribosomal RNA is filed under the name uncultured bacterium. Its description in RNAcentral is "partial 16S ribosomal RNA". It matches the Rfam family "Bacterial small subunit ribosomal RNA", at positions 338 to 795 of the family's 1533-position model. The record is from RNAcentral.